This 409-nucleotide ribosomal RNA is filed under the name uncultured eukaryote. RNAcentral describes it as "SSU rRNA". It matches the Rfam family "Eukaryotic small subunit ribosomal RNA", at positions 570 to 990 of the family's 1831-position model. The record is from RNAcentral.
GCACCCGCGGUAAUUCCAGCUCCAAUAGCGUAUAUUAAAGUUGUUGCAGUUAAAAAGCUCGUAGUUGGAUUUCUGCGAGGGUGCCAAUGUCCGCCGACGCGCGUGCGCAGCGGCGCCCUCGCAUCCUUCUGUUACCACCUCUCGGCAUUCACUUGCCGGUGGUCGGCUCAGAGAAUUUACCUUGAGAAAAUUAGAGUGUUUCAGGCAGGCUAGGCCGGAAUACAUUAGCAUGGAAUAAUGGAAUAGGACUACGGUCUCGUUGUUGGUUUGAGGGACCGCAGUAAUGAUUAAUAGGGAUAGUUGGGGGCAUUAGUAUUUAAUUGUCAGAGGUGAAAUUCUCAGAUUUGUUAAAGACUAACUUAUGCGAAAGCAUUUACCAAGGAUGUUUUCAUCGAUCAAGAACGAAAGU